UGGAUAUAAUGACCCAUUUGAAUUUCCUUGAUAUUUGUACAUUCCAAGCCUCCCAUCACGGGUGAAAUGUUUUCACAACAGCUACCUCUCCAUUUCAAUCACUAUUUCCUUCUCGUGCUCCCCACAAAACCAGCUUCAUGACUGAAACAUUAAUCACGUUUUUCUACUAUUUACCAUGAAUAAAACUAGAAACUCUUAAUCUGAUUAACGACAGGGAGGGUAAGUUCACACAACAGCAAGAUUGGAAAAACACACAGCCAAUAUUUCCUAGACAACUCUUGUCCUUGUUCGGAAGGCUCGUGCGGAAGUUUGGAUGCGUCCCCGGGUGGAAAAGCCCAUUCCGAGCGGAUUGGCAUCUAUCUAGAGCCAUGACGAAAUCUCCAACUCUGGACGACAGCGGUCGUCGAGGCGCCGUCGAUCACAUGAUCACACGGCCCAAGUCUCUCGAACAGACCGAAACAAGAACCUGCCAGCUCUCGAUCUCGCAUGACGUGAAGCUCGCGAUCCACAGGCUGAUCAGUGGAAAAAAAAAGAAAAAAAAAGGAAGCACCAAACCUCGAUCACGCAGCAGCAGCAGUAGCAGUCAGAGAGACAUGUGCACAAGCAACCAGGGCGACUGACCUAGCAAUCUUCGAGAAACCGCAAGGAGGGAUCCAACCAUUCGCCACACAACCCGAAAGAGACAUGCAGGUCGGUGGCUUCCCGCGUGCGAGCCGAUCGACGAGCUCGCAGUCCCAGCGCCUCUUCGCCGCUGUCAGCGCCCGUAGGUCGGAUCGAGGCCCCUCUCCAGUCACGAAACCCUUAAGCUCAGUAAUAGAAAAAAUAAACAACAACAACAACAACACUGCAACCUGGGUGCGGCGAACCCAGCUCCACUCACCUGCUUCACCAGUAUUUUAAUCAGCAUCCGCAUCUAAUUCAGAUCUUGGCUCCGAUUAGCAAUCUUCCUAGUAUCAGAGAAUCCUGUUAUCUGAACCUUCACAUUGCACUGCAUUGACACCGGCGACGGUGGACUCCGGCUGCGAUGUCUAGAUUCCGCCAUGAAGCAGUCAAGGCUCG
Molecule: long non-coding RNA, 1059 nt
Filed under: Physcomitrium patens
Lineage: Eukaryota; Viridiplantae; Streptophyta; Bryopsida; Funariales; Funariaceae
Description: long non-coding RNA (PPAT_LNC003856)
Source: RNAcentral